Long non-coding RNA from Pangasianodon hypophthalmus (striped catfish), 3991 nucleotides. RefSeq lists it as uncharacterized. NCBI's taxonomy places the organism in Eukaryota, Metazoa, Chordata, Actinopteri, Siluriformes, Pangasiidae. The record is from RefSeq and is a predicted model, not a curated record. The transcript has 3 exons.
UCUGGAGGGUUCACAGGCAUAGAGUGUUGUGGUGAACUGGGAUGUUUGGAUGCUCCCCCCCCCCACUCUGACGCAUUCACUCAGGUUUGUUGACGGUGGAGUGGCUUGAUUUACAUUAAGAUGAAACCUCAUUUACACUGUAAGCGGGAAGAUUAGUGUGAACUACUAUAAAACACUCGAGUAAAUGAUGAUCAGGAUUCAUUCCGACUCUGGUGGAUCUAAGGUGCUUCAUGUACUUUGUUACUGCUGUGCUGUAAAUAAACAUCUUCAUCAAGAUCUUCGAAGCCUCUUCAAUUUUUCUUACAUUGGCAAGCCAACAAGGGAGUUUCCAAAAAAAAAAAAGCAGAAAAAAAAGCAGUUUUCUUUCUUUUAUGCUGUUUUUUUUUGUCAGGGAACCCUUGUUUAAAAAAAAUCUAGAAAAAAAAUUCCUAAGAGCAGAAGACAAUUUAGUUUAUUCAGUAUUAGCAGGAGGAGUUCUUACGCCUAUUCUAUACAAAUUCUGUUUAAGAUUCUAACGGAAUAUCAUCCUAUGUCAGCAAUUGGUGUGAAAAAGCCUCAUCAGAAAGAAUCCCUUAACCAAAGAGAAAUAAAGAUGUGGCCAUGGAUCAUGGCAGUGGUUCUUCCAGUGAUGGUGAUGAUGCAAGAAUGCCCGGAGCUGCAACCAGCACACCCUUCUGGCAUAGUGACGAAACCUAUGGGUGCUGAUCAACAACGUGCAUUGGAUCCAUGUUCCAGUCCUAGUAAACCUGACGGCCUGGUCUCCAGACAUGGAUGAGAGAUGCAGAGAAGAAAGCAUGUGUUACAACUACCCUAGACUAUUAUUUUCAAAGAUGGAAAAGAUCUGAAGUGAACAGGCAAGGAAAGCAAAGAAGCCAUAAAGCUAGGAAUCCUGCUUCCAGACUUUGCAGACCCAAGUUAAUUACCACUUGUUUACUGAUUGCUGGAUUUCAACUGUCCUGUGAACAAUCAGCAACUGAUAGGACAUCCCUGACCAGAGGACGAACCCUCUCAGCCAAGAGGAACCUCUGUCAAACUUAUUGAUCUAGGCCGCUGGCCAAGACCAGAUGGCUCACCCAACACGAUGCUAAAACUGAUAACUACAGAAAAAAGAGGGGACACUCACCCAAGGACCCUCAUGGAAUGAGACCUUUGUUCUCCCCAGGAACAAAAAGUUCACCACCCUUCACACAUUCCACAGAACCCAGCUUUAACAGACUACAUAAGGCUACUUUACAUCUCCUAUAAGGACAAUGACUUAAGAUGAAGCACCAUAGGUUGGAGACUUGUUGCCUCUUUUAAUGUCAUUCCGUAUAUGUGUCAUGCUUAUAGCCACCAGGUCAUUAUGAUGCUUUUUGAUCGUUUAACAGGGAUCAUAGUGUUCGUGUGUGUAUCAGUAACAGCAGGUAUGUCAUGUUUGGUAUGUGUGUGAUCACUAUGGAAUUUCCUAAGGGUUGGUAUAACGUGAAGUUGAGUACGAUGUAUUACAUGCAAAUUCCAAAUUUCUAACUUAACCUUGUGCAAAGUUUGGAAAGCACAUAACUCAGAGAUCAGAAUGUUAAUUAGUGUCAGAGGAGGAGAAUACAGUUUACACCCUGCCCCAAGAUCCUGCUGAUUGGAGCAAACACUUUGGGGUCAGCCCAACUGGAAAGGGUUAAAACCCCCUGACACAAAGGAAACUCUGAGUCUCAUCCACAACAUCUUUCAAGGAGUCUCAUCCAACACAUCUCUGCAAGAGUCUCAUCCACAACACCUGUGCAAGAGUCCAUCAACAUCUUCAGAGAGCCUUUACCAACAUCUUCAAGGAGUACUCUUCAACUAACGGCUCAAGAGAGUCUCCAUCCACAUCUGAAGGAAGUCUCAUCAGCCAAGAGCUUUAGAAGUUCAUCAUGAGGAGAUCAUGCUUGGUCCGAGACUCCGCAUCCAGACUGGUUCUUGCAAAGCCUCCAACUCUCACCUUUGCACCACUGUGAACCAUUCUUCAAUGGUUGGCGAGACUCCGCUGGGUUCGCGCCUCACUCUGUUUAUCUUCCUCAUUGGUCUUUCGAGACGCUACAUAAGGCCAACCAGACCGCCGACCAAUCAACAUCGCCAGAAACUCCUUCCAAACAACAACGCAACGAGGGAAUCCUGGCAACACAAACGCAAGUAUAGUACCUCCAGAUUCUCACUGAACUGGUGCAUUUAAUACAAGUUUAAAGCCCUUCUAAACGAAGCAAAUGUUAAAUCAAACUGAUAAGUUGAUGGUUCGUUCGGGUCAUGGUCUGAGAAACUGCUAGAAACUUGGAAUUUCAUUCACUCUCUUUUCAAAGCCAUUUUCACCCCUGUUUACGUGUGUGUGUGUGUUAGAUUAGUUUCUGUGUUUUAGAAUAGUAAUAAAGUCUCGUCUGAUUUAUAAAGGCCAGUGUCUCGUGUCUCUGUGCUUCAAAUUUAUUGCCUUAAACUGCUGAUCUUGUUACUGUGCUCUUAAUAUAGUGUUUCACUAUAUUUAGGAUAUUAUUGCCGGUGGCCACGGAGGUCAUAUCCCAUACACAAUUAAUAAAUACACUCGUUUCAACUUAUCGCUGGACGAAUAGUUGAUCAGCUAUUAAAAUAUUAAGUUUACAAAUUUCCCCUUCUGAGCUGAUCUGCUAAUCUCGUACAUAUAUUGGUGGAGAAUACAUCAGCUUAACCUAAAUGAGCUAAAUUCCUUACAAUGUAUUUUCCUUAUUGUUUGCCAAUGCAUUAUGUUGUACUAUACGUGCUCUACGUUAAGACGACAAAUUACAGCUUGAUGAUCACUUUAGGAUGUUCUUGUUGGCUGUGAUGGUUCCUGAAUGCCCCUCUUCCAACCAUAGAAUAUUUGAAACAGUACCAAAUUUUAAGAGAGACCCUAUGUUGAUUUUGCCUAACUGGAUGGAGCUGUAACCAGUGUGCAGGAGGUGAUGACCUAAUGACGGGUAAGAUUCUCCAGUGGCCAGAGAGGGACAACCUAAGGCAGGUCUUCACCGCCACUGCCCUAUAGGAAGUGUGAUUAGUAAAAAGCGAGUGGAUGUGAUGCUUCGUUUGGGCCAAGAGCAUCAAAAGGUGGUGUGAUUAGUAAAAAGCGAGUGUGGAUGUAAUGCUUCUUUUGGGCCAAGAGCAUCAAAGGGGGGACUGUAAGAAACGUUUUCUGCCCCAACCCAGCUUCCACUCCGAAGUAGGUGAGAGAACGAGGCUCAUUCCCAAAACGACUUAAUUAACAGAGACAGUGUAUUUUGAUAUCAACAAUGUGUGAAUAGUGUCAUCUGAAGACACAAAACCAAUUGUAGAAUGGGAGCAGCAGUGGGACAUUGAGAACCAUCACAAUUGAGUAUUCAAUUGUGAUUGCCGGUCAGAAAGACAAACGUCUCUCUGACUACAUAAUCCUAUCACCCUACCAUUUGGAACAAUAGUAAUGGGCUGGCAACAGAAGGGUAUCACCUUGGGUGUUGUUCUUGAUUACAUUAAAAUGAAACCUCAUUUACAUUGUAAGCAGGAAGAUUAGAGUGAAAUAGUAUAAAACUCUUGAGUAAAUGAUGAUCAGGAUUCAUUCAGACUCCGGUGGAUCCAAGGUGCUUCAUGUACUUUGUUACUGCUGUGCUGUAAAUAAACCUCUUCAUCAAGAUCUUCGCUGCCUUUUCAAUUUUUCUUACACAGAACAACGAACUAGACAUACACAUACAUAAUAAAAACAGAAUAUAAUAAAAUCUAGUAGACUAUAUGAUAAAGAAAGCUUAGAAGCCCUUAGAGGAAUGUAAUGUAGAAUGAAUAUACAUAAAUAGAAUAUGUUUUUUAAAAAAAAACAUAUAUAGAGCUGUAGUCUGAAAAAAAAAUCAUAAUGCAACUGUUUCUGUAUAGAAAUAUACAAAGCUGUACAGUGUAAGAGUUAUGUAGUUUGCAAAAAAAUUGUUUUUCCAUAGUGCGAACUGUUUGUGUAUGUGUGUGUGUGUGUGUGUGUGUGUGUGUGUGUGUGUGUGUGCGCGUGUGUGUGUGU